This 492-nucleotide ribosomal RNA is filed under the name uncultured bacterium. Its description in RNAcentral is "partial 16S ribosomal RNA". It matches the Rfam family "Bacterial small subunit ribosomal RNA", at positions 29 to 507 of the family's 1533-position model. The record is from RNAcentral.
AGUGAACGCUGGCGGCAGGCUUAACACAUGCAAGUCGAACGGAAGCACACUACGAGCUUGCUCUUACGGGUGGCCAGUCGCGUACGGGUGAGGAAUGUAUCCGGCCCUAGUUUUUCGUGGGGCUUAACGAAAGGAAACCUACGAUAAUAUCGCAUAUGAUCCACGGGUGAAAGCAGGGGAUCGUCGGACCUUGCACGAAUGAAUGCGCCGAUGUCGGACUGGCUAGUUGGCGGGGUAAAGGCCAACCCAGGCGCCGAUACGCAGCUGGUCGGAGAGGAUGAUCGGCGGCACUGGAACUGGGACACGGACCAGGCUCCUACGGGAGGCAGCAGUGGGGAAUGUGGGACAGUGGGCGCAAGCCUGGUCCAGCGAUACCGCGUGUGUGGAGGAGGCCUUCGGGUUGUAAAGCCGUUUUGUUGGGAAAGAAACGCUUCAGGUUAAUACCCCGCUGUUCUGACGGUACCGGAAGAAUAAGCACCGGCUAACUACGUG